RNAcentral lists this unclassified non-coding RNA (525 nucleotides) under Hevea brasiliensis (rubber tree). The record is from RNAcentral. Lineage: Eukaryota; Viridiplantae; Streptophyta; Magnoliopsida; Malpighiales; Euphorbiaceae.
UAAGACCCUGACCCACCUUCUAUCUGCGCACCAAAUAAAAAAUUCCAGAGGCUACACAAGAAAUCCCACCAAAUAAAAAAUGGCACCAAAGUCCAUGGACAAAAAUCAUACAUGUGCAUUUCUUUCUCAGUUCGUGUUGUUCAUUGCAUUUCUAUUUGUGUAAAUUGCGACCUUUUCUUGAUCUGUGGAGAAUAUUUCGAGCUUUCGUGCCCAAAGAGUUUGGGUUUAUGAACUGAUACUGUGGGUUUGAGUUGAGUUUUUGUUUUUAUUGAAGAUCUGCAAUACCCACCCUUUCUCGACCUCUGGAGGUGAUUUUGAGCUGUCAUGCCCAACAAAUUUGGGCCUAUGCACUGCUGAUAAUGGGUGUUUGAGUUCUGGGUUAUUGUUUUUAUUGAAGAUCUGCGAACAUCUGCUGGAUUUGGAUCUAUGAACUGAUUACAAAUAAGAAGCCAUUGUGGGCAAAAGCUGCAGUGAAAAAUGAUUACUGUGGCAAAAUCCAUUGACGGCAAUGGAUUUGAGUUCCUG